This is a non-coding RNA of Phascolarctos cinereus (koala), 442 nucleotides long. The record is from RefSeq and is a predicted model, not a curated record. Lineage: Eukaryota; Metazoa; Chordata; Mammalia; Diprotodontia; Phascolarctidae.
UCUGAAACAGAGAAGAGGAAGGAGAGGGAGACAAUAGCAGAGGUACUGGGAAUCCAAAGACAAUUGCAGAAGGACCAGAAUGGCUUCUCCACCUUCACUCAAUCCUGUUCUUGUAGGUCUCAGUAUGAAGCUUAGGAACUAUAUGGCCUUCUAGAAACUGGCAACUUUCCCUUAAAACUGUAACCCAACAACCUUUUUGCAUCUGCAUCAUCUGCAAGGAAUAAGAUAUUGGGAAAGAAGAUCAAGAUGAAGAGCUACCUUAUCUUUCAAGAAGCAGAGCCACACAAAGACUCAUAGCCUGGACAUGAGUUAUUUCUUUCCACAUAUAUUCCAACUCCAUCCAUAUUCAGCAUCCUCUAGCAUCCAUUGGAAACUUGGUGGCACAGUGGAUACAGCACUAGGCCUGGAGUCAAGAAGACCAAAGUUCAAAUCCAGCCUCAGA